This 452-nucleotide ribosomal RNA is filed under the name uncultured bacterium. RNAcentral's name for it is "bacterial SSU rRNA". It matches the Rfam family "Bacterial small subunit ribosomal RNA", at positions 34 to 507 of the family's 1533-position model. The record is from RNAcentral.
CGCUGGCGGCAUGCCUAACACAUGCAAGUCGAACGAAGGCUUCGGCCUUAGUGGCGCACGGGUGCGUAACGCGUGGGAAUCUGCCCUUGGGUUCGGAAUAACUCAGAGAAAUUUGAGCUAAUACCGGAUGAUGACGUAAGUCCAAAGAUUUAUCGCCCAAGGAUGAGCCCGCGUAAGAUUAGCUAGUUGGUGGGGUAAAGGCCUACCAAGCCUUCGAUCUGUAGCUGGUCUGAGAGGACGACCAGCCACACUGGGACUGAGACACGGCCCAGACUCCUACGGGAGGCAGCAGUGGGGAAUUUUGGACAAUGGGCGCAAGCCUGAUCCAGCCAUGCCGCGUGCGGGAAGAAGGCCUUCGGGUUGUAAACCGCUUUUGUCAGGGAAGAAACGCUCCGGGCUAAUACCCUGGGGUAAUGACGGUACCUGAAGAAUAAGCACCGGCUAACUACGUG